CAGAUGACCAUGAAUGCAGCUGAUGCUGUCAUUCCUGUGGAAAGCUCCCACCAUGCUGUCUUGUUAGAGACGCAGAUGACUGAAACUUUGAGUCCAUGAGACACUAAUCAACAGAUGACCAUGAAUGCAGCUGAUGCUGUCAUUCCUGUGGAAAGCUCCCAGCAUGCUGUCUUGUUAGAGACGCAGAUGACUGAAACUUUGAGUCCAUGAGACACUAAUCAACAGAUGACCAUGAAUGUAGCUGAUGCUGUCAUUCCUGUGGAAAGCUCCCAGCAUGCUGUCUUGUUAGAGACGCAGAUGACUGAAACUUUGAGUCCAUGAGACACUAAUCAACAGAUGAAAGGCACAGAUGUUGAAGAUUCAAAUGAAGUAUCCGACUCUAUACAAGUUUGUAUUGUUGCUUUCAGUUUUGUCUUGAGAGAACGCAAAUGAGCAGGACUCAAUAAAAAGUUUAAAUGUAUAA
This is a long non-coding RNA of Dicentrarchus labrax (European seabass), 463 nucleotides long. RefSeq lists it as uncharacterized. The transcript is spliced from 4 exons. The record is from RefSeq and is a predicted model, not a curated record. NCBI's taxonomy places the organism in Eukaryota, Metazoa, Chordata, Actinopteri, Moronidae.